GACUGUUGAACGUCUAAACUAUGUAGAAAGUAUGUUGAAAUUAUAAUGGACUUAUACGUGUUCAAAUGACGACCAUCUCUCCCGAUGUUGCCCUCAAGACUAAAUGAUUGCCCACCCCUGCUGUACAACAUGACCUGUUGUGCCAGGGACGUGAUUGGUCGGUGUGUUGAUGAAAGCUCAGCCCAUUGGUCCUGUGUCUCCUGUGCAGUGACAGUGGCAGUGACAGUAUGAUGAGAGGCAAAUAAGGCCAGUAUUGUUAAUGCUAUACAUACAGCGCUCAUCAGAUUUUGUCUAAUAUAGUUAGUUAAUAGUUUCUAAUAUAGCCUGCCUGACAUAAAACAUGUAAACGUGUAAAUUAUAACGUAAAGAAGAAUGCAGUACUUUACUUUCCCCGUACGUACCUGCGACGUAACCAGACCAGAAGCUCCCCUCCUCCCUGAGAUCGUUUGUUCUCUCAAGGAUGUCCCUCUCUCAGACAUGGUUCCUUAUAGAAAGCCCAGACUCGGGGCUGGAGCCAGUUUUGAUACCAAGACUGCAGUAGAGGGGCGGUAAAAAAGUCCACCCACAUAACAUCAGGACCCUCUGAAGACAGACUGACAGUAUUAUUGUACACAGUUGCUUUGAUCGGUAUUACCAUACAAACUUUUCCAUCAUCUGGUAUGUCAUUCUGAUGAGUUUAUUAGCAAGGUUGAUUGACCAGUACAGAUGCAAUAUUUGCUCCAGACAGAGAGACAGAGUCAGACUGUAGUUUACUGUUAGUUUACUUUCUCCGUGAGAUCUUUCAAUCUAUUGUUUGCAAUGUUUUCAGUGGUAUUUGUUUUUGGGAAGCUCUACUCUCUAUCUGUCAAGAGAUGAUCUGAUAUGAUAGGAGGAGUUUUUUGCUUUUAGACACUUAAAUUGCCUUAGUGGUGAAUAUUCACUUACUCAAUGUGUUGCUAAAUAUUUUGAGAAUUAGACACAUUUUUUGUUUAGUUCUCUGAGGGUUGACUGAAACCAAAACAGUCUGCUUAUCCACUGGAAACUGCCAGCUAUUACUAUGAGUCAUAUUCAUGUUGUAAGUUAGGUUUCAUUACUAAAUUAUGGGCCAAAUACAACUUUGAAAAGCCAAACAGACAAACUUUUCAAGUUAUUUUUGUUGGUCAGAGUUGGUUUUAUUGGUCUUUUGGUAGAUUACUGUUCUAAUACUCAUUUUGUUCAAGUUUCCUAUCAGUUCUGCACCUGUGGUUAUUAUUAUGAUCCGUUUCUCUAACUGACAGUUUGGAAUAUCUAUUUCUUAAAAAAGCUUGGAUUAUAUAUAUUUUUUUAAUUAUGGUAAUAACCAAAAUCAGUUCACUUUAAGUGUGUGAGAUUAGUCAUGGCUACAAAAAAUGUGUCAUGUGCUCUGGUGUUCAGAAUGUGAAUCUGAUAAUAUGUUGUGAUAAUUGACCACUAGAUGGCGAUAUUUAACAGAAUAUCAAGAAUGUUAAAGUAUCAAGAACCUGCACUGGUCAGUGGUCCUAGGUUGUGUGUGUAAUCAUCUGGCUACUGUUUAAGUUCAGCUCACCAGUUUGAGUUCUGCCUCCAGACAACAACACUGAAUCACAGACAGUAUAUUAUUACAUUAUCACUGAUAAUUAUCACAUCAUCACUAAUAAUGUCCACACAGGAAGGCCGCCGUGCAUUUAAGCCAUAAGGGUAAUCAACUGCUGAUCACUGCCCAAUUCAGUCCUUACUGCCUUAGACUUACAGCCAUGCCUAAAACUCACAAUUUCAAAAUGUCCUGUAUAGUAUCUCUUAACCAUUAUAUUUCACUCUAAACUUCAGCAGGCUAUAUCAACAAAAUAUAUUUUGAAUGCUUUAUCACUCAUUUUGAAGUCAUUAUAAUUUAUUUAACCUUUAUUUAACUAGGAAAAGCCCAUUGAGACCCAGAGUCUCUUUUUCAAAGGAGACCUGGCCAAGAAGGCAGCAACAAUCAAUACAUGACAUAAUUAAACAUACAACAAUACAAUACAACAACACGAUCCAGCCUAAAAAAACAAACCCCAUCAGGUCAAAUAAAAAGCCUCUAGUUUCUGAGUACUGCUACAGGGUAAACGUUGGAUCACUGAAGUGAUGCUGGUGUUGUGACACCCAUUAGAAAUGUAUAAUGACCAACUGCCAUCCUGUAAACCUCAGGUUAUAAUGACUAUUAUUACAGAGUAACAGGACUAUUCAGUGGUUGCAGUCAUACAAAAGCCAUAGUACUCGACCAGAAACAGACAGACGUGCUAGUAAUGUUUAACUUUGAGUACUGUCGAUAUUGCCAAAGAAAGACCACCUUAUCAUAAGACAUAUAUGGUGGUAACUGUGUGGUGAUUAUACCUUUUUUCUGUCUGUGAACUGCUCAACAGUUCAACAAGUGAAUGUGCAACUGUUUAAUUUAACUUUAAGGUUCAAUCUUAUUGAGACAGAUCAAAUAUACAAUGCUGUUUAUUUAGAGAAAUACCGGUAGUCAAUGUAAGGUGUUUGUCCAUCUGUUUAAACUUUUUUUUAUUUCAUCUUUGGAAAGUCAAUAAAUGAAAUGACUCUAGUCCCAA
Oncorhynchus gorbuscha (pink salmon) is the source of this 2555-nucleotide long non-coding RNA. RefSeq lists it as uncharacterized. The transcript is spliced from 2 exons. The record is from RefSeq and is a predicted model, not a curated record. NCBI's taxonomy places the organism in Eukaryota, Metazoa, Chordata, Actinopteri, Salmoniformes, Salmonidae.